Molecule: ribosomal RNA, 297 nt
Filed under: Triticum aestivum (bread wheat)
Lineage: Eukaryota; Viridiplantae; Streptophyta; Magnoliopsida; Poales; Poaceae
Description: partial small subunit ribosomal RNA
Rfam family: Eukaryotic large subunit ribosomal RNA
Source: RNAcentral
AUGGAACAAUGUAGGCAAGGGAAGUCGGCAAAAUGGAUCCGUAACUUCGGGAAAAGGAUUGGCUCUGAGGACUGGGCUCGGGGGUCCCGGCCCCGAACCCGUCGGCUGUCGGCGGAUUGCUCGAGCUGCUCACGCGGCGAGAGCGGGUCGCCGCGUGCCGGCCGGGGGACGGACCGGGAAUCGCCCCUUCGGGGGCUUUCCCCGAGCAUGAAACAGUCGACUCAAAACUGGUAUGGACAAGUGGAAUCCGACUGUUUAAUUAAAACAAAGCAUUGCGAUGGUCCUCGCGGAUGCUGA